GAUGAAGAACGCUAGCGAAAUGCGAUAAGUAAUGUGAAUUGCAGAAUUCAGUGAAUCAUCGAAUCUUUGAACGCACAUUGCGCCCCUUGGUAUUCCGGGGGGCAUGCCUCUUCCAGCGUCAUUUCACCCCUCAAGCUCUGCUUGGUUUUGGGCCGCGCCGGCAACGGCGGGCCUCGAAAAUAGUGGCGACGCCAUCGUGCUCUCAGCGUAGUAAUUCUUCUCGCUGUUGGGUCCCGGUGGUCGUCCGCCAGCAACCCCCAACUUUCUUAAGUUUGACCUGGGAUGAGGUAGGGAUACCCGCUGAACUUAAGCAUAUCAAUAAGCGGAGGA
Molecule: unclassified non-coding RNA, 330 nt
Filed under: soil metagenome
Description: partial contains 5.8S ribosomal RNA, internal transcribed spacer 2, and large subunit ribosomal RNA
Rfam family: 5.8S ribosomal RNA (bases 1-121)
Source: RNAcentral